Physeter macrocephalus (sperm whale) is the source of this 7848-nucleotide long non-coding RNA. RefSeq lists it as uncharacterized. The transcript has 3 exons. The record is from RefSeq and is a predicted model, not a curated record. Lineage: Eukaryota; Metazoa; Chordata; Mammalia; Artiodactyla; Physeteridae.
UGAAAAAGAACAACGUGCUUAUCCUCAGGAAAGAGUUAAGGAUUUGCAUAAUUCCAUGCUGUUUGUUGUGGUGCCUGCUUAUAAAACGGAAACAACCAAAUUGUCUAACAGUAGGAGCCUGGAACCCUCAACACUAUUAAAAUGAUGCUGUAGAGAUUUAUCUUUGUAGAAAAAUGGGGAAAGGUAACCAUAUAUUAAAGGAAAAUAAAUGUUUGUUUUUCAAUGAGUUAUGUUAAUUUUUGUAAGAAAAAAUCGUGUCCAGACAUAAACAUGUAUGUAUAUUUGGAAAAGCAUCUAUAUAUUGGGUUAUGGGUGUUUAUAGGUGUUUGUUUUUUUUUUCGGGCUUACCUAUCUUCUGAUGGUUCUGUUUUCAACAUGUGUUGUGUUUGUGAUAAAACAAUAAAGCAAAAUACCACUUUGAGAGAAAAGACAUCAUCAUCAGGCCCGAGAAUCCCUCCCGUGCACUCAGCCUCCCCAGAGCGAAUCUUUCAACCAGAGGCUGCAGCUCUAAAAAUUCUGUGAACUGGGAAGGAUGGGAGCCUCCUCAUGGGAAUUAACCUCCAAAACAACAAGAGUGGGACAGCACGUGAGCAAGAUCUUCCCACACAGACCUCAGGGUCCCGGCGUCCUCAUGAAUCACUACAGUCAUUUUCCCUCCUCGGAAAGCAAAAGCAAAAGUCAGAAACAGGAAGGCAGGUUUUCUGUGAAAAGCCAGUUAUAUUGAAAAAAAUAACUACUUUUGCCUUGUUUCUUCUGGAGUUAAAAACAGAGGGGAUGAGAAAACAUCAAAGAAACCCAAAUUGAGGAACUCUACAAAAUUCCUAAGCAGCACUCCUCAGGAGUGUCCAGGAGGACUGGGACACUGUCACGGCCUGGAGGGGAUGGGGCGCUGGGGCGACAAGAUCACUAAUGCCUGGACUGCAUCCUGGGACAGGAAAAGGGCAUGAGUGGGAAAACGUGGAAAACAGAACUCAUCCCAACAGUGUGGUUGACGACACACUGUUAACUGGCACAGUGAACACCGUAUGAGUGUUGGUUGGCUCCUCGCUUUCUCAGUGUGUGGGUGGCGCAGGGGCACGGGUGUAAAAGGCAGGGAGACCGAGCACCAGCGGGCGGCUGAAUGAUGGUUUAAACCUAGAACCUCCAUCCGGAACAUCCCCACCUUGUCCUCCUCACAAGACCACAGGGAGGGCUGGAUAAGGUCAGGUACACGACAGCGCUCUGGAAGCGACCUUGUGCCUCACAAAGAUGCGUGGUCACCACCUUUCACAAGUACGUCACUGAAGAAAACAUUUAAGUUACAAGACUAUGAUCCCUACACUAAAUACAAGGUGACCCAAGUGAAAAGGACGAAUCCUAGAAGCAUACAAAUUACCAAAACUAACUCAAGAGAAAAUAGAGACUCUGAAGAGACCUGUAACGAGAGACUAAGUCAAAAAUCAAGCCCUCCCAACAGAUGGGGAUCAAGACAGCAGAGUAUGAGGACGUGGAGCUCACCUCCCCCCACAAACACACCAAAAACACAUCUACACGAGCAACAACUCCCAGAGAAAACUAACUGGAAACUCACAGAAGAUCCCCCAUAACCAAAGCUGCAAGAAAGACCUCCACGUAAUCGGGUAGGAUGGAAAAAAGAAAGGUACCAGGUUGAGACCGGCACUCCUGGGAGGGAUCUGUCAGGAAGAGAAGGUGUCCGCUUGCCCUAGGGAGUCCCCUUCCCGCUGGGAAGCCCACUGAGACAGACAGGAGGGCUGAAGAAGCCUAGACUCUACUCAGGAGGAGCACGCGGGCUGGCUUGCUAACAACCAGGACAGAGAGACCUGCACUGGUGGCGGCCGCCUCCCCGCACUUCCCAAUUCAAAGGGGUGAAUGCCCUGGCCCCGCUCACUCCACACCACGGCCUGGCAUGAGAUCAGUGCAGAGACUGGGUCUAGCUGCGCAGAGGCAGAUGGGGUGGCUGGGAUGUGAUCCAGAUGGGACUGUGAAGACUCCCGUCACUGCACACACAAGGGCCACGGUGCACGCUGGGAAGACAGUCCCAGCGCAUGCCGCACGUGGCGCCUCAACAACGUGCAGCAGCUAAGCAGUGAAUUUUAUGUAGAACCUACAACAUGCUGCCCCAAGAGACUCGCUUCAUGGCGAAAGACACACACAGACUGAAAGUGUAAGUAUGGAAAAAGAUAUUUCAUGCAAAUGGAAACAUCAAGCAAGCGGGCAUAGCAAUACUUAACAAAAGACAAAGUAGACUUCAAAACAAAGACCAUAAAGAAAGACAAAGAAGGAUAUUACAUAACAAUAAAGGCAUCAAUACAACAGCGUAUUACACUUGUUAACAUACACGCUUCCAAUACAGGAGCACCUAAAUAUAUAAAGCAAAUAUUAACAGACGUAAAAGGAGAAAUUCACAGGAAUACAAUAAUAAUAGAGGACUAUAACAUCCCACCUACAUCAAUGAACGGAUCAUCCAGACAGAAAAUCAGUAACGCGACAGAGGUCCUAAAUGACACAAUGGACCAACUGUACUUAACAGAUAUCUACAGGACACUAAAUAAGAAAAACACCAAAUACACAUUCUUUUCAAGCCAGCGUGGAACAGUCUCACGGAUAGACAUAUACUAGGUCACAAAACAAGCCUCAACAAGUUUAAGAGGACAGAAAUAUUUUCAAGCAUCUUUUCUCACCACAAGGGUAAGAAACUAGAAAUCAACCACAGAAAGGAAAACAGGAAAAGAACAAACACAUGGAGACUAAACAACAUGCUACUAAAAAGCAAAUGGGUUGAUGAUGAAAUCAAAGAGGAGAUCAGAAAUAUCUUGAGACAAAGGAAAAUAGAAACACGAUCUUACAAAAUCUAUAAAUCUUACAAAAUCUAACUGCAGCAAAAGCAGUUCUAGGAGGGAAGCGCACAGCAAUACAGGCCUUCCACAAAAACAAGAAAAAUCUCAGACAAGAUAACCUACCACCUAAAAGAAUGAGAAAAAGAAGGACAAACAAAACCCAAAGUCAGCAGAAGGAAGGAAAUAAUAAAGAUCAGAGAGGAAAUAAAAGACAUCAAAAAAGCAACAGAAGAGAUCAAUAAAACCAAGAGCUGAUUUUGUUUCUGUUUUUAAGAUAAACCAAACUGAUAAACCUCUAGCGAGGCUCACCAAGAAAAGAGGACCCAAAUAAACAAAAUAAGAAAUAAAAGAGGAGAAACAACUGAAACCACAGAAAAACAAAAAAUCAUGAAAGAAUACAAACAGUUAUAUGCCAACAAACUGGACAACCUAGAACAAGUGAACAAGUUUCUAGAAACAUACAGCCUGCCAAAACUGAGUCAAGAAGAAACAGACAAUUUGAACAGACCGUUCACUAGAAGUGAAAUACAAUCUAUAAUUUAAAAAACUCCCUGCAAACAAAAGUCCAGGGCCAGAGAGCUUCACUAGGAAAUUCUACCAAACAUACAAAAAGACAAAAACAAAAACUUAAAUCUAUCCUUCUCAAACUAUUCCAAAAAAAUGAAGAGGAGGGCACAGUCUGAAAUUCAUACUAUGAAACCACCAUUACCCUGAUACCAAAACCAGACAAAGACACUACAAGAAAAGAAAAUUACAACCCCAAAUCUUUGAUGACUAUAGAUGCAAAAAUCCUCAACAAAGUAUUAGCAAACUGAAUCCAACGAUACAUACUAAGGAUACCACACUCAAGUUGGAUUCACUCCAGGGUUGCAAGGAUGGUUCAAAAUAUGUAAAUCAAUCAAUGUGAUACACCACAUUAACAAAAUAGAUAAAAAUCACAUGAUCAUCUCAAUAAAUGCAGAAAAGGCAUUUGACAAAAUUCAACAACGAUUCAUGAUAAAAACUCUCACCAAAGUGGGUACAGAGGGGACACAACUCAACAUGACAAAAGCCGACUAUGUCAAAUCCACAGCCAACAUAAUACAGUGAAAAACUGAAAGCUUUCCCAAUAAAUUCAGGAAGUAGACAGGGAUGUCCACCCUCGCUGCUUCUAUUUAACAUAAUAUUGGAAGUCCUAGCUACAGCAAUCAGACAAGAAAAAGAAAUAAAAGGCAUCCAAAUUGGAAGGGAAAAGGUAAAACUAUCACUAUUUGCAGAUGACAUGAUAUUCUAUGUAGAGAACCCUAAAGUUUCCACAUAAAAACUAUUAGACCUAAUGAAUUCAGCAAGGCAGCAGGACGUAAGAUUAAUAUACGGAAAUUUACUGUGUUUCUAUACACUAACAAUGAAAUAUCAGACAGAGAAAGUAAAAAAAAGCAAUCCUGGGGCUUCCCUGGUGGCGCAGCGGUUGAGAAUCUGCCUGCCGAUGCAGGGGACACGGGUUCGUGCCCCGGUCCGGGAGGAUCCCGCAUGCCGCGGAGCGGCUAGGCCCGUGAGCCAUGGCCGCUGAGCCUGCGCGUCCGGAGCCUGUGCUUCACAACAGGAGAAGCCACAACAGUGAGAGGCCCGCGUACCGCCAAAAAAAAAAAAAAAAAAAAAAAAAAAGCAAUCCUGUUUAAAAUUGCAUCCCCCCCCAACAAAAAACACAAAACACGAAACCUAACAAUAAACUUAACCAAGGAAGUAAAAAGAUCUAUAUGCUAAAAACCAUAAAACACUGAUUAAGGGAACUGAAGAUGAUUCAAAGAAAUGGAAAGAUAUCCCAUGCUCUUGGAUUAGAAGAAUUAAUAUUGUUAACAUGAACAUACUACCCAAAGCAACCUAGAGAUUUACUGCAAUCCCUAUCAAAAUACCCAUGACAUUUUUCACAGAACUAGAAUAAAUAAUCCUAAAACUUAUAUGGAACCACAAAAGACCCAGAACUGCCAAAGCAACCCUGAGGAAAAAGAACAAAGCUGGAGGCAUAACCUUUCCAAACUUUAUACUGUACUACAAAGCUAUAGUAAACAAAAGAGUGUGGUGUUGGCAUAAAAACAGACAUAUAGAUCAAAGGAACAGAAUAAAGAGCCCAGGAAUAAACCCACACACUUAUGGUCAGCUAAUCUAUGACAAAGGAGGCAAGAAUAUACAAUGGAGAAAAGACAGUUUCUUCAACAAGUGUUGCUGAGAUAACUGGACAGCUACAUGUAAAACAAUGAGAUUAGAACAUUACCUCACACCACAUACAAGAAUUCAAAAUGGCUUAAAGACCUAAAUGUAAGAUCUGAAACUAUAAAACUCCUAGAAGAGAACAUAGGCAGGACACUCUGACAUAAACUGUAGCAAUAUUUUCUUGGAUCAGUCUUCUGAGGCAAAAUAAAUAAAAGCAAAAAUAAACAAAUGGGACCUAAUUAAACUUAAAAGGCUUUACACAACAAAGGAAACCAUUAACAAAAUGAAAAGACAACCUACAGAAUGGGAGAAAAUAUUUGCAAAGCAUAUAUCUGAAAGGCGUCUAGUAACCGAAAUAUAUAAAGAACUCUUACAACUCAGUAACAAAAAGACAGAGAACCCAAUUUUAAAUGGGCAAAGGACCUGAAUAGACAUUUCUCUGAAGAAGAUAAACAAAUGGCCGAUACCCACAUGAAAAGACAUUAACCCAUCAUUAAUCAUCGGGAAAAUGCAGACCAAAGCCACAGUGAGUACCACUUCACACCUGUUAGGAUGACUAUAAUCCAAAAAAUGGAAAAUAACAAGUGUUCCUGAUGAUUUGGAGAAACUGGAAUCCUUGUACUUUGCUGGUGAGAAGGUAAAAUGGUGCAGCUGCUAUGUAAAACAGUUUGGCAUACAAUUACCAUAUGACCCAGCAACUCUACGUCUAGGUAUAUACCCAAAAGAACUGAAAACAAGUACCCAAAUAAAUAUAUGUACACAUAAUGUUUAUAGCAGUACUCUUCAUAACAGCCAAAAGAUGGAAAACAACCUAAACUCCCAUCAACUGAUGAAUGGAUAAGUGAAAUGUGGUCUAUCCAUACAAUGGAAUAUUAUUCACCAUAAAAAGGAAUGAAGUUCUGAUACAUGUUACAAACGUGAAUGAACCUUGAAAGCAUGCUAAGUGAAAGAAGCCAGACACAAAAGGUCAUAUAUAGUCAUCCCUCGGUUAUCUGUGGGGAUUGGUUCCAGGACCCGGCCAGAUACCAAAAUCCGCAGAUGCUGAAGUCCCUUAUACAGAAUGACAGAGUACAGUUAGCACUCCCUCUAUCCUCGGGUUCUGCAUCUGCGGAUUCAGCCAACUGCAGAUAUAAAUCUGAUUGGCAGUCGGGUGAAUCCGUGAAUGUGGAACCUGCAGAUAAGGAACGCUGACUGUAUUGUGAUUUCUUUUAUAUGGAAUAUCCCAAAUAUGUAAAUCCAUAGAGAUAGAAUGCAAAUUGGUGGCUGCCGGAUACUUGGGGAGGUGGGAAAAGGAGGAAGAAUGGGAGUGACUGUGAAAUAGGUACAGGGUCUCCUUCUGGGAUAGUAAGAGUGUUCUGGAAAUAGAGGUGGUGGAUGCACAACACUGAAAAUGCACCGAGUAUCACUGAAUUGUUUACUUCUUUAAAAAAAACUAUUUCUUUGCUUAAUAAAACUACACAAACAAAACAAAUACGUACAUGCACAGAUAUACGUGGGAACAAAGUCUGGGAGGAUGACACUGAAAUAUGAGUGUUUUUCUCUGGGUGGUGAUAUCACAGCACAAUUACUGUCCAGAUACUCACACUUUUUCAAGCCAAAUUGGAAAAGAAGAAAGAUGCCAGUCAUUUGGUCUCUAAAGAUACAAAAAGUCUCUUUCCCUAAACAGAACCUGAAGCUCAGACACAAGUAUAUGCAUCAACAGAAAUCUUCCAGGGAAAAAACCACAUUUCUACCUAUUUUUGUUUUAUCGAGACAGAGCCUUCUCUAAGGGUAUUUUAAGCAUGCGACAAAGCCUGUCUACACACAAACUCUUCGCCACGACUCCUUUUGGACAGAACCCUACUCACGGCACAGCCACCUGCCAGCAUCAUCACCCAGCUUGGAAGGUACUCCUUCCCUCAAAGAAACAAUCACAUCUCAAAGCUGCAAAAUACGAACAUCCUUUUUCUCAAGAGGUCUUAUCUUUUAGAGUGCACAUUGAAAAAUCCGAGAAUGAAGGGUGAAGCCCGACCCCGCUCUCCCGUCAACGCCUUUCAGCUGCAAUGACUCAGGCUGUGCUACUCAGCAGACCCGCAGGCUGGCUGUUCCUGCACCUCCUCAGCCGCGAACCCUGGCCCAGGACAUUCCCUCCCCUCGACCUGCGCCCGUCCCGCCUCCCAAGCACGCUUCAGGGCCCGCCCUCCAGGACGUCCCCUCUGACUGUCCCGCCCCCGGGACUGACGGGCUCCUCAGAAGCAUCUUGAGGAAAACCUGAGGUUCCUUGACUGCUGUUGUCUCCCUCCUUCGUGCCUAAUAACGUGCCCAUCAUACGGGGGGCUCAGGAACCAAUUAACUACCAGGAGACGCACUCCAUAUGGCCGGGCCGCCAGGGGCUGCAGGGGGCCUGGGGAGCCUGGAGAGGAGCGGGGGCCCCCAACCACGGUGGGCACUGCCGUAGGCCCCGCAGUGACGUGGGGAGACGAGCGGCAAUGCCGGGUCAGCCUGAGGGACGCAGAUCGUGGCGCAUCCACUCACAGCUGAAGUGCUACUUAACCUCUCUGAGUCUCCAGCUCCUCGUUCGCACACUGUCCUAAGGGAGUAAGAUGACGGGCAACCUGCAGAGCCCUUGGCACACCUCCUGCCCUAGCCAGGACGCACAGGUGUCCCCUUCAGGUCCUAAAGGCGAGCCCAGGGCUCUCUCACCUAACGCUCCUGACAACUCUGACACUCAGCCCGGGCCUCCUAUGUGUUUUUCACUGAGGAGAAGCUGCCGGUGAUGGUAAAUCUAAAUCUAAAUCUAAAUCUAAAUCAUGAAAAUGACAGAAAUCUAGAAGCAAGUGCU